AUUGAACGCUGGCGGCAGGCCUAACACAUGCAAGUCGAACGGUAACAGGAAGAAGCUUGCUUCUUUGCUGACGAGUGGCGGACGGGUGAGUAAUGUCUGGGAAACUGCCUGAUGGAGGGGGAUAACUACUGGAAACGGUAGCUAAUACCGCAUAAUGUCGCAAGACCAAAGAGGGGGACCUUCGGGCCUCUUGCCAUCGGAUGUGCCCAGAUGGGAUUAGCUAGUAGGUGGGGUAACGGCUCACCUAGGCGACGAUCCCUAGCUGGUCUGAGAGGAUGACCAGCCACACUGGAACUGAGACACGGUCCAGACUCCUACGGGAGGCAGCAGUGGGGAAUAUUGCACAGUGGGCGCAAGCCUGAUGCAGCUAUGCCGCGUGUAUGAAGAAGGCCUUCGGGUUGUAAAGUACUUUCAGCGGGGAGGAAGGGAGUAAAGUUAAUACCUUUGCUCAUUGACGUUACCCGCAGAAGAAGCACCGGCUAACUCCGUG
RNAcentral lists this ribosomal RNA (490 nucleotides) under uncultured bacterium. RNAcentral describes it as "partial 16S ribosomal RNA". It matches the Rfam family "Bacterial small subunit ribosomal RNA", at positions 30 to 507 of the family's 1533-position model. The record is from RNAcentral.